AUUGAACGCUGGCGGCAGGCCUAACACAUGCAAGUCGAGCGGAUGAAGGGAGCUUGCUCCUGGAUUCAGCGGCGGACGGGUGAGUAAUGCCUAGGAAUCUGCCUGGUAGUGGGGGAUAACGUCCGGAAACGGGCGCUAAUACCGCAUACGUCCUGAGGGAGAAAGUGGGGGAUCUUCGGACCUCACGCUAUCAGAUGAGCCUAGGUCGGAUUAGCUAGUUGGUGGGGUAAAGGCCUACCAAGGCGACCAUCCGUAACUGGUCUGAGAGGAUGAUCAGUCACACUGGAACGGAGACACGGUCCAGACUCCUACGGGAGGCAGCAGUGGGGAAUAUUGGACAGUGGGCGAAAGCCUGAUCCAGCCAUGCCGCGUGUGUGAAGAAGGUCUUCGGAUUGUAAAGAACUUUAAGUUGGGAGGAAGGGCAGUAAGUUAAUACCUUGCUGUUUUGACGUUACCAACAGAAUAAGCACCGGCUAACUUCGUG
Molecule: ribosomal RNA, 484 nt
Filed under: uncultured bacterium
Lineage: Bacteria
Description: partial 16S ribosomal RNA
Rfam family: Bacterial small subunit ribosomal RNA
Source: RNAcentral